AAAUAGGAAAAUAUCUUUUAUAGAAUUUUCACACCCAUAAUCUGUUAUAGAAAAUUUACUUUUGAAAUUAAAUAAGAAAAUUUAUUUUUUAGAAUUUUCACAUCAGUAAUCUGUUAUAGAGAACUUACGUAUUCAUUGGGGUUUCUAUUUUCAUUUUUAUUCUUAUGUUUAAAAUUUUUCGUACGGGAAAAAAAAAAAUGGGCGCUAAUUUUCCAGCUGAAAAAUGGGUCUGUCGACAGACCCAAAUUUGAAUAUACGUGCAUUUAUAUAUAUAUAUAUAUAGAGAGAGAGAGAGAGAAAGAGAGAGAGAGAGAGAGUUGGACUGGGCUACUAUUAGUAGCAAAAUUUCAUUGUUGCUACCAAUUUUUAAGCCUUUGGAUCAACUCUUUUCAUUAUUUCUAACCAUUGGAUUAAAUACUAUAACCCAGUGGGGACCACUCAACCCUAGGGGGACCACUCAACUCUAACAGACUAAUAUCAUCCUGACCCUACAAUUUUUCAUC
Molecule: long non-coding RNA, 503 nt
Filed under: Ananas comosus (pineapple)
Lineage: Eukaryota; Viridiplantae; Streptophyta; Magnoliopsida; Poales; Bromeliaceae
Description: long non-coding RNA (ACOM_LNC001675)
Source: RNAcentral